Molecule: non-coding RNA, 23 nt
Filed under: Cricetulus griseus (Chinese hamster)
Lineage: Eukaryota; Metazoa; Chordata; Mammalia; Rodentia; Cricetidae
Source: RNAcentral
AAUGAUUAGUUAGGGGAAAUAGU